UACGGAGGGGGGCUAGCGUUGUUCGGAAUUCUGGGCGUAAAGCGCACGUAGGCGGCUUUUGUAAGUUAGAGGUGAAAGCCCAGGGCUUAACCCCUGGAAUUGCCUUUAAGACUGCAUCGCUUAGAAUUGUGGAGAGGUAAGUGGAAUUCCGAGUUGUAGAGGUGAAAUUCGUAGAUAUUCGGAAGAACACCAGUGGCGAA
Molecule: ribosomal RNA, 200 nt
Filed under: uncultured bacterium
Lineage: Bacteria
Description: partial 16S ribosomal RNA
Rfam family: Bacterial small subunit ribosomal RNA
Source: RNAcentral